Molecule: non-coding RNA, 3502 nt
Organism: Salvelinus sp. IW2-2015
Lineage: Eukaryota; Metazoa; Chordata; Actinopteri; Salmoniformes; Salmonidae
Source: RefSeq, a predicted model, not a curated record
AGAUGGCAGUAGGACACAAUGGCGAAGAGAAAAUUAUAACAGAAAAGUUCAACCCUUUUCACAUGUGUCCGUUCAUUCUUACAAAGUGUUGUUUCCUCGUGCUGCAAAUCUGCACAGAUGAGAUAUUAGUCAAUUGUUUCAUAGGUGUUGAAGGCUGUGAAUAACAAAUCACCCACAAGAUGGACCUGCACUGGAAAUGAUCAAUAGCAGAAUGUACACAGCAGGAAGUUAAAUAUCUGCAUUAGCCUACAUGAAAAUGAUAAUAAGCGAUGACAUUAUUAAUGCAGAAAUGGUCCAUCACUACAACAAAGCAGUGGAGUUGUUAUGCUAGCCUGCCCAUAUAAACACAUUAAUUCAGGAGAGAAUGUGUUCGGGAAAAGUGUCAUGUCAUUUAAUAGUUAGCUAGGUGCAGAAGAACUCCAGCCACAACCAUACACCUAGAGGCUAGCGCUGGAGGUUGUAACUUUGACUUCAUUGUUUGUCUACCAAGAGACGGCUUUUCAACUCACACUUUGACACAUGAGGAGUAAUGGGGGGGAGAGAUCAAAGUUUAAAAAGAGAGAGAGCCAUUCCAUCAAGUCUCUCCUCCGCACUGAGUGCCUCCCCUUCAGAAAGUAACUAUAUAAUCCAUCCCAUUACUUUGGGGCAAACAACUGAACAGGAUGCUCCAACAAGUGCCAAGGGGAAAAACUGCCUAAAUAGUAACAGUUUUUCACAGCAGCUUCUCCCUACUUCUAAACUAGGCCUAAUCCUCAUGCUCAGUUAUUAUUCUCAGUGGGGCUGUGGAGGGUUAGUCUGGCUAAAACCUAACUCUUCAAGUCCUCUGGACUUCAGAGUCUGUAAUUGCUCUUUGAUGUUGUGGUCGAGUGUGGUCACAGCUCUCCCCACGCUUUAAGUCACGUGGCUCGCGUCAGCCAGGCUAGCUGCAGAUAUGUUGGCAGGCAAAAACUGCAUAUCCCAUACCCUGGCUACAUGUCCAGGUACACACAGACAGUGUGUGAUCACUAAGGUUGCAAAAUUCCAGGAACUUUAGAUAAAUUCCCUGGUUUUCUAUAAAUCCUGGUUGCAUUGUUCAGAUUUCCUGCGUAUCCCGGGAAUCCUCCAACCAGGAUUUCCAGAAAACCUGGGAAUUUAUUGAAAGUUCCCGGAAUUUUGCAACCCUGGGGGUCACAGAUGCCGCCGUUAUUCCUGCAGCAUUCAAGCUGUCAGAGUGUAGCACUGUGUGUGUGAGAAGGAGCAAGAUAAGAGACAGAGAGCAGAAUUCAGGGACUGAGAUGGAGUACACUUCUGGCUAAGCCCAGGGCCCUGACUGCAAUGUCAUUCCUUCACAUAUGCUGCCAAAUUCUGGCAUCCAACAAUGUGAGGCUCCUCUCAACAACAUAAAGACUACUACAGCAUAUUGCUCUCCAUGUUUACCUAGUUCUGCAACACAGCAGGCCUAUUUUUAAAUAUCUAUAAAUAGUCACAUCUCCAAAAAACACCUAAUAAACUUUGACAAAUGGGCAAAGGGAAAAUACUAUUUGAUCACCAAAUAAUAGUACUCAGUAAGAGAGAACCAAACUCCACUCCGUAAGCAACGUUGUGUAAUGCGUGUCUUGAUCAACAAAAGCUCUUGAGAAAAAUAACCAAACCACCUGGUAAUGUUAGCUAACAUUAGUAGUUAGCUGUGCUCCUCGAUUAGCUAACGUUAACUGUUUCAAAGUAGGCCAAGAUAAUGAAUUGGUUCUGACAGACAACAGAUUAGUGGCUAGCUAGCAAGUCAAGUUAUAUACUUCACAUUUCGUGUAGCUGACUAAACUCAACGAUUUCCGAUGGAGUUGAGUGGUGAUUAGUGUGUACAGACAGCAGCGUCAACGUCAAGUUUUUACACUGGUCGGGGCUCCAGUCCGCCCACACUAGUCAUCGCUCAACUCCAUCAUAAAUCGUGGAAUUGAGUCAGCUACCUUUUCUGGUACCUUUAGUAUUUUUCGGCUGGGUAGUUAGCUAGCUGCACAGCUAGGGAACAGUCAAGAUCUGCGCAUGGGUGUCCUAGAAGUCCACAAUUAUUUUAAAGGGGUAUUUGUAAAAUCCUAUUAGACAUCUAUAAUCCAUAACUCCUUGUCCAUCCAGACUGUAUAAUGUGCAGAUAUCUGUAAAGAAACUGUCUGAGACAACUUUUCUCCAAACCUAUAACUUCUGAUCUUACACAUAGCCUACCACUGUCUACCCCAGCCAAGUAUAUAAAUAGAUAGAUAUAUAGAUGCCGGUUUGGAGAGAAGUUUGGCUCAGAAGCUUUCUUUAGUUAUCCACACAUUAUACAAUUUGGAUGGGCAGACAAGCAGUUAGGGAUUAUAGAUAUGCCUUCAGUAACAGUAUUUUCUGGAAGCAAGUACCCCUCUAAAGCAUUUUGUUAGUUAUUUUCCAGGCUCUAAUUGAAGUCGUCUAGGACACCCAUGCGCGAAUGCUAAACCCUAUAUAGACCCAGUCGGUAUUAGAUAAAACGUUGCGGCCCCUCCCACCUGUGGGGAACAACCUGUGGUUAGCCCAUUGUCUCACAGCAAAUAAUUAAUUUUUUUGGUCUGCUUGUUUUAGUCAAUUACAAAACUACAUUUAAGCAAAGUACAUGUCUAAAGAUUACUUUUCAGCAUUGCCGGUUCCCGAGUGUUCUCACUAGUUAGAAAAACGCAAUAUUGUGGCGCUGCCCCUUUUUAUGACGCUGUUAGCAGCCACGAGUGAGUGCUAGCUAGCCAAGCACCACAACACAAACAGACUAUACAACUACUACUGGGCUUUACGCAUUUGGUGCUGCUCUUCUCUAUGACUGUGGUCUCUCAGAACCAGCCUCAAGACUGCUCAGAGGUAUAUGACAAUAGCUUCACCCACAGUGGAGUGUUUACCAUCUACCCUGCUGGCCCCACGUCUGUUGUCUAUGCCUACUGUGACAUGGACACUGAUGGAGUGAAAUGGACUUUCUUCCAGAGACAAAUUGAUGGGUCUGUGAACUUCUACAGAGACUUGGACCACUACAAGAAUGGCUUUGAGCAUGCUGCAGGAGACCACUGGCUGGGGUGAUGCCCUCUCCCACUACAACAUCCAGAGGUUUUCCACCUGCGACCGGGACAAGGACAGCAGCCAUGUGAACUGUGCUGAAAGUUACCUGGGAGGCGUCUAGUAGACCAAGCGCUACAGCGCUAACCCCAACUGUGUCUAUAGCCAGAAUAGUCUGCAAAAUUGCAAAUUGAUCACAACUAUGCCCAAAAAAAGAUUGUAUUUGAAAAUAACAAUAAUUGUAUACCUUGAUUACAUUAAGACACAAUCACAUAAUUAUGUCUCUUUUUUUUAUUUGUGCGAAUACUUGGGAACAGAUUUCUGAAAUUAAACCAUUUGUUUGCUGAAUUCCUUUUUACUAAAAACUUUGGGGGGCCCAAGAAAAUCACUCAUGGCUGGUUUUGGUCACCUGUUGCCGACCGCUGCUAUACUACAAUGUAUGUAGGCCUAUAAUGUUUUUUGUUUUGUUUGUCUG